RNAcentral lists this transfer RNA (68 nucleotides) under bovine gut metagenome. It matches the Rfam family "tRNA". From Rfam's summary of the family: Transfer RNA (tRNA) molecules are approximately 80 nucleotides in length. Their secondary structure includes four short double-helical elements and three loops (D, anti-codon, and T loops). RNAcentral also lists the same sequence under 1 other name. The record is from RNAcentral.
GUGACGUAGCCAAGUGGUAAGGCAACGGUCUGCAAAACCGUCAUUCACCAGUUCAAAUCUGGUCGUCA